Molecule: long non-coding RNA, 325 nt
Filed under: Vigna radiata
Lineage: Eukaryota; Viridiplantae; Streptophyta; Magnoliopsida; Fabales; Fabaceae
Description: long non-coding RNA (VRAD_LNC006615)
Source: RNAcentral
UUAAAUAUAGUGAAAAUUAUAUAUUGGAAUUAAUCCCUUGUGUUAAAUACACACAUAGGGUUCUCUAUUUAUAAUAGAAGAAAUAUGGGCUAAGUCCAAAUACAAAUGAAUAUGUAAGAAUAAAAUAAAAUAAAAUAAGAAUAAUGUUUCCCUAAUAAACAUAUAGGGACUAUAUUUCCCUAAUUAACAUAAACACAAUAUAAACUAAAUAUAAUUUCUCUAACACUCCCCCUCAAGUUGGAGCAUACAGAUUGUAUGGACCAAGCUUGGAAUAAAUAAACUCAAUUUGAAAUAUAUGAUCGGUCUUCAAGAGUGAGCAGCAAAC